This 341-nucleotide long non-coding RNA is filed under the name Mytilus galloprovincialis (Mediterranean mussel). Lineage: Eukaryota; Metazoa; Mollusca; Bivalvia; Mytilida; Mytilidae. The record is from RNAcentral.
UCUCAAUCUACUGUGGAUUCAUUUAUUUUCGUGGGUACCAAUUUUCGUGGAUUGAGGAAAACUUACAUGUUCGUGGAUAUUUGAUUUCGUGGUUUUGCCGAAGUCUGCAUACAAGCCAUGAGAAAAUUUGUCAUUCGUGAACAUUUAAUUUCGUGGUUCAACUGUUCCCACGAAAUCCACGAAAAUUGGUAUCCAACGAAUAAUAAUGAAUCCACAGUAUUACUAUUUUCUAAAUAUAACACAAUACAAUAUUUUACCCAUGGGGUAACACGAAACUUUCUCUAUUUAUCCUAUAAAAGGAUCAUGUACCCUUUUUAUAGUUGAUGAUUGUGCUGAUGUUU